UUCAGGAUGGCCGAGUGGUUAUGGCAUCCAACUCCUGAUUGUGUCUGCAGGUUCGAUUCCUGCUCCUGAAU
Molecule: non-coding RNA, 71 nt
Organism: Trichonephila inaurata madagascariensis
Lineage: Eukaryota; Metazoa; Arthropoda; Arachnida; Araneae; Nephilidae
Source: the annotation of a GenBank genome assembly